RNAcentral lists this ribosomal RNA (264 nucleotides) under uncultured archaeon. RNAcentral describes it as "partial 16S ribosomal RNA". It matches the Rfam family "Archaeal small subunit ribosomal RNA", at positions 748 to 1009 of the family's 1478-position model. The record is from RNAcentral.
UAGGCGUAAAUGAUGCGAGUUAAGUGUGGGGGCGAUCUACGAGAUGGCCCUGUGCUGUAGGGUAGCCGUUAAACUCGCUGCCUGGGGAGGUACGGUCGCAAGGCUGAAACUUAAAGGAAUUGGCGGGGGGAGGCACCACAAGAGGUGGAGGCUGCGGUUCAAUUGGACUCAACGCCGGAAACUCAUCGGGAGCGACAGCAGUAUGAUUGCCAGGUUGAUGACCUUGCUUGACAAGCUGAGAGGUGGUGCAUGGCGUAGUCGUGU